This 331-nucleotide unclassified non-coding RNA is filed under the name Roseovarius litorisediminis. RNAcentral describes it as "Pelagicola litorisediminis cspA". The record is from RNAcentral. Lineage: Bacteria; Pseudomonadati; Pseudomonadota; Alphaproteobacteria; Rhodobacterales; Roseobacteraceae.
CUCAGUCACUCGAUCUUGCACUGACUAGCCGGGCUGCCGCACCCCGCGGGCAGCAAGAGAAAAGGAGACUACGGGAUGGCUACUGGCACCGUAAAAUGGUUCAACUCAACAAAAGGUUACGGCUUCAUCGCACCCGAUGGCGGCGGAAAAGACGUGUUUGUACACAUCUCUGCCGUUGAACGUGCCGGUCUUACCGGUCUGGCAGACGACCAGAAAGUAACCUUCGACAUCGAAGCAGGCCGUGACGGCCGCGAAAGCGCGUCGAAUAUCGCCCUGGCGUAAGCCACAAACAAAAGAUUUCGGAACGGGGCCCCAGGAUGGGGCCCUUUUU